AACGAACGCUGGCGGCAUGCCUAACACAUGCAAGUCGAACGAGACCUUCGGGUCUAGUGGCGCACGGGUGCGUAACGCGUGGGAACCUGCCCUUAGGUUCGGAAUAACUCCCCGAAAGGGGUGCUAAUACCGGAUAAUGUCUUCGGACCAAAGAUUUAUCGCCUUUGGAUGGGCCCGCGUUGGAUUAGCUAGUUGGUAGGGUAAAAGCCUACCAAGGCGACGAUCCAUAGCUGGUCUGAGAGGAUGAUCAGCCACACUGGGACUGAGACACGGCCCAGACUACUACGGGAGGGAGCAGUGGGGAAUAUUGGACAAUGGGCGAAAGCCUGAUCCAGCAAUGCCGCGUGAGUGAUGAAGGCCUUAGGGUUGUAAAGCUCUUUUACCCGGGAUGAUAAUGACAGUACCGGGAGAAUAAGCUCCGGCUAACUCCGUG
RNAcentral lists this ribosomal RNA (433 nucleotides) under uncultured bacterium. RNAcentral describes it as "partial 16S ribosomal RNA". It matches the Rfam family "Bacterial small subunit ribosomal RNA", at positions 29 to 507 of the family's 1533-position model. The record is from RNAcentral.